AAAUGGUGCCGUAACUUCGGGAGAAGGCACGCUGACACGUAGGUGAAGUGAUUUACUCAUGGAGCUGAAGUCAGUCGAAGAUACCAGCUGGCUGCAACUGUUUAUUAAAAACACAGCACUGUGCAAACACGAAAGUGGACGUAUACGGUGUGACGCCUGCCCGGUGCCGGAAGGUUAAUUGAUGGGGUCAGCGCAAGCGAAGCUCCUGAUCGAAGCCCCGGUAAACGGCGGCCGUAACUAUAACGGUCCUAAGGUAGCGAAAUUCCUUGUCGGGUAAGUUCCGACCUGCACGAAUGGCGUAAUGAUGGCCAGGCUGUCUCCACCCGAGACUCAGUGAAAUUGAACUCGCUGUGAAGAUGCAGUGUACCCGCGGCAAGACGGAAAGACCCCGUGAACCUUUACUAUAGCUUGACACUGAACAUUGAGCCUUGAUGUGUAGGAUAGGUGGGAGGCUUUGAAGUGUGGACGCCAGUCUGCAUGGAGCCGACCUUGAAAUACCACCCUUUAAUGUUUGAUGUUCUAACGUGGACCCGUAAUCCGGGUUGCGGACAGUGUCUGGUGGGUAGUUUGACUGGGGCGGUCUCCUCCUAAAGAGUAACGGAGGAGCACGAAGGUUGGCUAAUCCUGGUCGGACAUCAGGAGGUUAGUGCAAUGGCAUAAGCCAGCUUGACUGCGAGCGUGACGGCGCGAGCAGGUGCGAAAGCAGGUCAUAGUGAUCCGGUGGUUCUGAAUGGAAGGGCCAUCGCUCAACGGAUAAAAGGUACUCCGGGGAUAACAGGCUGAUACCGCCCAAGAGUUCAUAUCGACGGCGGUGUUUGGCACCUCGAUGUCGGCUCAUCACAUCCUGGGGCUGAAGUAGGUCCCAAGGGUAUGGCUGUUCGCCAUUUAAAGUGGUACGCGAGCUGGGUUUAGAACGUCGUGAGACAGUUCGGUCCCUAUCUGCCGUGGGCGCUGGAGAACUGAGGGGGGCUGCUCCUAGUACGAGAGGACCGGAGUGGACGCAUCACUGGUGUUCGGGUUGUCAUGCCAAUGGCACUGCCCGGUAGCUAAAUGCGGAAGAGAUAAGUGCUGAAAGCAUCUAAGCACGAAACUUGCCCCGAGAUGAGUUCUCCCUGAGACUUUAGGUCUCCUGAAGGAACGUUGAAGACGACGA
This 1153-nucleotide ribosomal RNA is filed under the name Salmonella enterica subsp. enterica serovar Mikawasima. Its description in RNAcentral is "partial 23S ribosomal RNA". It matches the Rfam family "Bacterial large subunit ribosomal RNA", at positions 1720 to 2850 of the family's 2925-position model. Lineage: Bacteria; Pseudomonadati; Pseudomonadota; Gammaproteobacteria; Enterobacterales; Enterobacteriaceae. The record is from RNAcentral.